UAUAAUGAGCUUUACAAAGCCCAGCAGGUCACCAAAGCCUACAACUGAAAUCAAAGCACGGCGAUGCUAUCAAUAUGCAUGUCAAUCUAUCAAUCUGAAUCAGUCAAUGGUCAAUGAGUCUAUGCAGUACGAAAAUUCAAUAGUCAAUAAAGCCAGUCAAUGCAGCAGCAAGCGAAUCGAUAAAUCAACUCAAUAAAUCCAUGUCAAUCUCAAAGAAAUUCGUACGCAAUAGGAAAUCAAUCAAUCCGUCAAAUCAAUCGCUAUCAAAUCAAAUCAAUGCGGUCUAAUCAAUACUAUUUAUUCAAUGAAAUCAAACGAGGAAAGCAGUACGAUAAAUCUCAAGAUCAAUAAAUCCAUAGGCAGUAGUAACAAUAAAUCUAUAAGCAGAAAUCAAUGAAUCUAUAGGCAACAGUGUCAAUAAUUCUAUACUAUUCAUGUCCAUGCUAUCAAUACAAUAUAUAUAUCCAUCCAUUUCUAUAUCAAUGCUCAAUGUCGAUGCACAGCAAUCAAUCAGUGAAAUCAAUGAAAUCGUACGAUCUAGUAAAUCCAAUCAAAGUCGAUAAAGCAGGAAUCUAUAAAACAAUGAAUCCAUAAAUCAAUACAGUAAACAUGCAAUUCAAUACUAUAUACUGGACAAGUACAAUCAACUGGCUAUGUUGCUGUUGUAGAAUCCAUAUUGCUGUUGUAGAUAUCCAUACAUUGGUUCUAUCAAUAAGAGUCGUCACUCUUUUCGCCCGUCGGCAUUUUUAUAAACUCCUUAUGACUCCCAAUCGUUAUAUCAAUGAUCAAUGGUUUAAAGGAAAGCCCGUCGGCCCACCAUCCUGUACAGGUAUCAAUAUCAAUCUUCAACCAAUGUUCAACCAGGUUAUACGUGUGUUCCAGUAUCAAUAUCAAUCUUCAACCAAUGUUCAACCAGGUUAUACGUGUGUUCCAGUAUCAAUAAUCAAUCAAUAAUCAAUUCAAUAAUCAAUAUUAAAGCAAUCUAUAGCAAUUAUAUCAAUAAUCAUAAGCAUAUCAAUCUAAUCUAUCAAUUUCGGGAAAAUCAGAAAUCGUACGAAAAUCGGGCAGAGUAACGACAGUCGGUCAAAUUUACACAAAAAUCCUGCAAAAAGGCACAAGUUCCAAAUUCUUCCAAAUUACAGUAGAACAUUCACGACAUCAAUAUAAGACUAUUAUUCUAUAGAAUCCAAAUCAAAUCACGUC
Molecule: long non-coding RNA, 1203 nt
Organism: Dendrobium catenatum
Lineage: Eukaryota; Viridiplantae; Streptophyta; Magnoliopsida; Asparagales; Orchidaceae
Exons: 2
Source: RefSeq, a predicted model, not a curated record